Molecule: long non-coding RNA, 385 nt
Organism: Scophthalmus maximus (turbot)
Lineage: Eukaryota; Metazoa; Chordata; Actinopteri; Pleuronectiformes; Scophthalmidae
Exons: 3
Source: RefSeq, a predicted model, not a curated record
AACGACUUCAAACCCCGGGAUUUUUUAUUUUUUGGGUAGCAGUGCGCGAGCACAGCUCGGAAAUCCCUGCCAGAAAGUAACCACCUGCUGCCUCUCUCCGUCGAGUCCUUAGAUAUGGAGACAGAGUCCGCUAUCUCCCAUCUCGCUGAUGGCUAUCAGCUCUGUGCUGACUGAGGCGAUAGCAACCCGCUGGAGUGAAAGGAUAAAGCUCGGCCCGACAAACCCUGAACGGACUCGCUGGAUCAAUUGGAGGUGACCUACAGUACAACUGGAAACAAGAGUUCACAGAGAUCCAUGUGCGGGUCUGCUGAAAUCAUCUGCACGGAGGCUUGAGAGAUGCAGCCGCCCAGCGAGUCUGUAGAGGGAAACUUCCUGUAACAUCAGC